RNAcentral lists this ribosomal RNA (404 nucleotides) under Pseudomonas sp. RNAcentral describes it as "partial 16S ribosomal RNA". It matches the Rfam family "Bacterial small subunit ribosomal RNA", at positions 355 to 776 of the family's 1533-position model. Lineage: Bacteria; Pseudomonadati; Pseudomonadota; Gammaproteobacteria; Pseudomonadales; Pseudomonadaceae. RNAcentral also lists the same sequence under 4 other names. The record is from RNAcentral.
UGGGGAAUAUUGGACAAUGGGCGCAAGCCUGAUCCAGCCAUGCCGCGUGAGUGAUGAAGGCCCUAGGGUUGUAAAGCUCUUUCACCGGUGAAGAUAAUGACGGUAACCGGAGAAGAAGCCCCGGCUAACUUCGUGCCAGCAGCCGCGGUAAUACGAAGGGGGCUAGCGUUGUUCGGAUUUACUGGGCGUAAAGCGCACGUAGGCGGACUUUUAAGUCAGGGGUGAAAUCCCGGGGCUCAACCCCGGAACUGCCUUUGAUACUGGAAGUCUUGAGUAUGGUAGAGGUGAGUGGAAUUCCGAGUGUAGAGGUGAAAUUCGUAGAUAUUCGGAGGAACACCAGUGGCGAAGGCGGCUCACUGGACCAUUACUGACGCUGAGGUGCGAAAGCGUGGGGAGCGAACAGG